Molecule: long non-coding RNA, 1785 nt
Organism: Globicephala melas (long-finned pilot whale)
Lineage: Eukaryota; Metazoa; Chordata; Mammalia; Artiodactyla; Delphinidae
Source: RefSeq, a predicted model, not a curated record
GCAUGAGGGGGCGCCCAGACCCCGCGGGGAGUGCGGAGGGGGCGGGGGCGGAGUCGCCAUCUUGGACUCGGCUCGACCCAGUCUGGUGACCGGCGACGCUGGGCCGGGCUCGGCGCAGGGGGUCGGGAAGCGCAAAGAAGUUAAAUACUUGACCAACUUCACACCAAGAUCUGAACCCAGGUAGUCUUACUUCAGAGCCUACGUUCUUAUCCGUGCCCAUUGCCAGCCUCGUGCUCAUUCAUUUGUACCGGGAAGCUCAUGCUUUAUCCCUAGAACUCCUCCAAUGGCAGUUUUGUACAGAUUGGAGGAAGUGGUGAACUCAGAUAGCAGAGUCAGGCACAAGAAGGAGGAUAUUAUUUGGUGCCCAUUCAGUUGUUGUGCCUGUUACGGCUUAGUUUAAAAAGAUGGCAGAGAGAAGAGUUCCUGAGAAGACCAGAUAGGACAUUUGCAUCUCAAAGAUGGGGAAACAAGUUUGAAGCAGGGUGUCCUGACUACAAAUGCAGUGUUGUUUCCAAGAUGCCGCAGUGGUGCCUCUUGGCUCAGUGCCAGCUCACUCCGGGAGUGAAGAUGAGUUCCUGGGCUCCACGUCACCCAACACGAUGCCACACGUCAUGCAUGCCCUGUGAAUAGCUCUUGGUGUGGCCUUGUCAUGAGCAGCCCUAUGGAGAGGCCCAGGUGAAUUCCAGCCCCCGAGCCACAUGAAUGAGCAUGGAUGCAAAUUCUCCAACCCAGUCAGCCUUCAGGUGACUGAAGCCCUGGCCAGCAUCUUAUCUGCAGUCGUGAGAAACCCUGAGCCAGAAAUACCCAGCUAACCAACUCCUGGAUUCCUGACUCACAGAAACUGACCUUAUCUGCAGCUGGACUGGACCCCGCCCCUCCCAGGAACUGGGUAGGCAGAGAGUCUAGAGCCUGAAUCCUUCAUCUGAAACAUGACCAUCAAUAGCAGCCGAGAACCUCCAUCUUACUUUUCCAUCAUCAAAGAGGAACCAGCCUUCUUCUUCAGUGUUAAAAAAGACAUCAUUGAAGACAUCACCUUCUUGGUUCAGGUGCCUUCCCUGAAAGUAAGGAAGCAAGUCAGGAGGCAAGGUACUGUGGUUUGCCGGGCUCAGGUUGGCUCCCAUCAACUGUGGGUAGGAUCCAGGAUCACACAGCAGCAGGAAUCAUAGCUGGGAGAAAGGAGUUCAGGGUGUACAGAGGAAGGAGGAGGAAGCAGAUCCCAGAAGGUGAGUUGGGAAGAUAAAAUAGGUGUCCUCUCUAGUUAGAAAAUGAUCUUACACUCAAGGGGCCCUGGCACACAAGCCUUCCCUUCCCAUGUACAUUUUGCCCAUUACUUCCACUUCCACAAUACAUCUUGCUAAUAUCUAUUUACAACCUUCCUUGUCCAAGGGCCUGGAGAUAAAGGAAUGCAAUUAACAGUUUCAUACUCUUUGACUUGUAUAGCUGUGCAUUGCUUGAUAUUAAUGUUGCCAGACCUGACUUUCUUUAUGUUCACAUUUGAAUAAUUAUAUUUUACUCAUAUUUUAAUUUCUGAAUAUUUCAUUUUAUUUUUGUUUGUCUAAUAAGCAGAGAAACCUUGGAUUUAAGGGGUUUUUUCCUCAUAUCUAAGAGUAUUGGCCUUUAAUGAUUUAUUAGAUUUUUUUAAGUCUUUGUUAAAGAUGACUGGUGGUUCUUACUAUACCUUUAUUAAACAGAAGUGUAUCCUUUCUACCUUUUCUUUUUCUUAAAAAGACACUUGCUUUUCCUUCCCCCUUCUUCAUUCUUUUGAUCUGCAUUGAUGUAUGCCAA